Molecule: ribosomal RNA, 253 nt
Filed under: uncultured bacterium
Lineage: Bacteria
Description: partial 16S ribosomal RNA
Rfam family: Bacterial small subunit ribosomal RNA
Source: RNAcentral
UACGGGGGGGGCAAGCGUUGUUCGGAAUUACUGGGCGUAAAGGGCUCGUAGGUGGCCAACUAAGUCAGACGUGAAAUCCCUCGGCUUAACCGGGGAACUGCGUCUGAUACUGGAUGGCUUGAGUUCGGGAGAGGGAUGCGGAAUUCCAGGUGUAGCGGUGAAAUGCGUAGAUAUCUGGAGGAACACCGGAGGCGAAGGCGGCAUCCUGGACCGACACUGACACUGAGGAGCGAAAGCCAGGGGAGCAAACGGG